CCCGCUCAGAAACUUAAAGGAAUUGACGGGGCCCGCACAAGCGGUGGAGUAUGUGGUUUAAUUCGAUGCAACGCGAAGAACCUUACCUGGUCUUGACAUCCCGGAGACCCUUAGGAAACUAGGGGGUGCUUCCAUCUGGAAGAAUCUGGAGACAGGUGCUGCAUGGCUGUCGUCAGCUCGUGUCGUGAGAUGUUGGGUUAAGUCCCGCAACGAGCGCAACCCUUGCCUUUAGUUGCCAGCAGUUCGGCUGGGCACUCUAAGGGGACUGCCGGUGUUAAACCGGAGGAAGGUGGGGAUGACGUCAAGUCCUCAUGGCCUUUAUGACCAGGGCUACACACGUACUACAAUGGCCGAUACAAAGGGCAGCGACACUGCGAGGUGAAGCCAAUCCCGUAAAAUCGGUCUCAGUCCGGAUUGGAGUCUGCAACUCGACUCCAUGAAGUUGGAAUCGCUAGUAAUCGUGGAUCAGCAUGCCACGGUGAAUACGUUCCCGGGCCUU
Molecule: ribosomal RNA, 499 nt
Filed under: uncultured Desulfobulbus sp.
Lineage: Bacteria; Pseudomonadati; Thermodesulfobacteriota; Desulfobulbia; Desulfobulbales; Desulfobulbaceae
Description: bacterial SSU rRNA
Rfam family: Bacterial small subunit ribosomal RNA
Source: RNAcentral